AGUGAACGCUGGCGGUAGGCCUAACACAUGCAAGUCGAACGGCAGCACAGUAAGAGCUUGCUCUUACGGGUGGCGAGUGGCGGACGGGUGAGGAAUACAUCGGAAUCUACUUUUUCGUGGGGGAUAACGUAGGGAAACUUACGCUAAUACCGCAUACUACCUACGGGUGAAAGCAGGGGAUCUUCGGACCUUGCGCGAUUGAAUGAGCCGAUGUCGGAUUAGCUAGUUGGCGGGGUAAAGGCCCACCAUGGCGACGAUCCGUAGCUGGUCUGAGAGGAUGAUCAGCCACACUGGAACUGAGACACGGUCCAGACUCCUACGGGAGGCAGCAGUGGGGAAUAUUGGACAAUGGGCGCAAGCCUGAUCCAGCCAUACCGCGUGGGUGAAGAAGGCCUUCGGGUUGUAAAGCCCUUUUGUUGGGAAAGAAAAGCAGCAGGUUAAUACCCCGAUGUUCUGACGGUACCCAAAGAAUAAGCACCGGCUAACUUCGUG
Molecule: ribosomal RNA, 492 nt
Filed under: uncultured bacterium
Lineage: Bacteria
Description: partial 16S ribosomal RNA
Rfam family: Bacterial small subunit ribosomal RNA
Source: RNAcentral